This 1362-nucleotide long non-coding RNA is filed under the name Anser brachyrhynchus (Pink-footed goose). RNAcentral's name for it is "lncRNA (ENSABRG00000005846.1)". The record is from RNAcentral. Lineage: Eukaryota; Metazoa; Chordata; Aves; Anseriformes; Anatidae.
GUUAAAUGCUGUCGGCAGUGAUAAAUAGGCAGGCAGCAAGUGGCUGCGCUGCUUCCCUGUGUUUUUCUCCGAGAACCUGCAGCAGAUUGCCUAUAAUUGCUCAUUGCUCUCCAUUAGUGUAUCUCCCUCCUGGCAACUCUUUAAUAGUUUACAUCUCUUGGGGCUGAAAAUUACUAUUUUAAUUAAAACAAUUUGUUUCAAAUGGGGCUCCCAAAUCCCCACACGAUGUUUUAGGAGCCUUGGGCAAAGAACAGAAAACGGAGAGGAGCAAUUGUUUUUAGGGCUAAGAGUAAAGCUGAAUGUAGGAGUUUGGGAUUCUCAAUCAAUUUCUGAGGCCCAACCUCACAGACUGUGAGAAGCAAUGAUUUUCUGGAGAAGAAAAAGAAAGUGCCAAGAAAAGGAGCUUUGGGCGCUUAAAUGCUACAACAACGCACUUUGGAAGUGUGAGGGAGCAGCCAGAGCCAUGCAAGUGCUGUUUGCUCUUCCUGCACGUACCGAGCUGGAGGCUCCCAGUCCCUGUGCCACUUCUCAGUUCCUGAGGGUUUCGCAUCUGCUGCCAGCUGUGCCCAGGGCUCCUGCUGUGUGCUGGAGCAAGUCCUUCGUCAGGCAUCGAGGGGAAGGACUUGGGAAGUUUCCAUGUCUGGGGCUGAGCCCCGAUGCCUGCUGUGCUGGAUUCACCAUACACCAGCAGCACAACGAUCAUCCACUUCAUUCCAAGCACCUGCCUGCCUGCCAAACAUCCUUGCUCUGCUCUGAUGGCAGCCUCUGUGAUAGUUCCUGGGAAGCUGGUGCUCGCACGUGUGCCAGGGACUGGCUGGUGACUGCAAACAGAAUUCCCGUCUGGACCAACCCCCUGAAGAGCUGGGUCUGCUGCAGCUCCAGCUGCACAGUGGCUACAUCAAAGUCCAGAGAAGGAAGGCUGCCCUUGUGGUUGGUGGCUAAUGUUUAUGUUGGCACCGUUAUUCUGUUUGAAGACACAUGAAUUUUAGGAGAGUAAUUUCAAACUGAGUGCUUCCUGUAUGAGAUGGGACAUUGUCAGGAAGAUGUGACUUCAUAAGAGAUGCUGACGCUCCCUCCCUUCAGCCACCCUCCAUGAAGAGGUCCUCUUGUGACCAAGAUAUCUUUUCUGUAGUGAUCCACACCUUACAACUUUUGCACCAGUACAUAGAACUGGGAACCUUUUUCUGAAGUUCUUGUACCUCAAACGUGUAGAAUAUUGCUGAUUUCUGCACGGAUUUGUUUAGGUCCAGCAAGACCACUGAACUGCAUGUUUGCUAACUUACCAACUGUCUUUAAUUCACCAUUUGAGGAAAUUUAUGAUAAGAAUAGUGGUAGAAAAUAGUAUAAUAAUAUAAGCAAGCA